RNAcentral lists this ribosomal RNA (1474 nucleotides) under metagenome. Its description in RNAcentral is "bacterial LSU rRNA". It matches the Rfam family "Bacterial large subunit ribosomal RNA", at positions 1459 to 2925 of the family's 2925-position model. The record is from RNAcentral.
UAGCGAUGGGGUGACGCAGGAAGGUAGCUGGGCCAGUCAGUGGUUGUACUGGUGUAAGAGUGUAGGCCGUGACAUAGGCAAAUCCGUGUCACAUUAAGGCUGAGACUUGAUGCAUACCCGUUGUGGGGAAUUCAGUGAUCCUAUGCUGCCGAGAAAAGCCUCUAGUGAGUUCAUACACGGCCCGUACCCCAAACCGACACAGGUGAUCAGGUAGAGAAUACCAAGGCGAUCGAGAGAACUGUGGUUAAGGAACUCGGCAAAAUGCCCCCGUAACUUCGGGAGAAGGGGGACCAUGCCCGGUGAACAUCUUCACGGUGGGAGCUGGGUGUGGUCGCAGAGACCAGAGAGAAGCGACUGUUUACUAAAAACACAGGUCCGUGCGAAGACGUAAGUCGAUGUAUACGGACUGACGCCUGCCCGGUGCUGGAAGGUUAAGAGGACCGGUUAGCCGUAAGGCGAAGCUGAGAAUUUAAGCCCCAGUAAACGGCGGUGGUAACUAUAACCAUCCUAAGGUAGCGAAAUUCCUUGUCGGGUAGUUCCGACCUGCACGAAUGGCGUAACGACUUCUCUGCUGUCUCGACCACAGACUCGGCGAAAUUGCACUACGAGUAAAGAUGCUCGUUACGCGCGGCAGGACGAAAAGACCCCGGGACCUUUACUAUAGCUUGGUAUUGGCGUUCGAUUCGGUUUGUGUAGGAUAGGUGGGAGACUGUGAAGCAUGCACGCCAGUGUGUGUGGAGUCGUUGUUGAAAUACCACUCUGAUCGUAUUGGACGUCUAACCUCGGCCCAUGAUCUGGGUUAGGGACAGUGCCUGGUGGGUAGUUUAACUGGGGCGGUUGCCUCCUAAAGAGUAACGGAGGCGCCCAAAGGUUCCCUCAGCCUGGAUGGCAAUCAGGUGUUGAGUGCAAGUGCACGAGGGAGCUUGACUGUGAGACUGACACGUCGAGCAGGGACGAAAGUCGGGACUAGUGAUCCGGCACCGGCAAGUGGAAGCGGUGUCGCUCAACGGAUAAAAGGUACCCCGGGGAUAACAGGCUGAUCUUCCCCAAGAGUCCAUAUCGACGGGAUGGUUUGGCACCUCGAUGUCGGCUCGUCGCAUCCUGGGGCUGGAGUAGGUCCCAAGGGUUGGGCUGUUCGCCCAUUAAAGCGGCACGCGAGCUGGGUUUAGAACGUCGUGAGACAGUUCGGUCUCUAUCCGCCGCGCGCGUAAGAAACUUGAGGAAGGCUGUCCCUAGUACGAGAGGACCGGGACGGACGAACCUCUGGUGUGCCAGUUGUUCCACCAGGAGCAUGGCUGGUUAGCUACGUUCGGAAGGGAUAACCGCUGAAAGCAUCUAAGCGGGAAGCCUGUUCCAAGAUGAGGUUUCUCACCACCUUGCGUGGUUAAGGCCCCCUACAGACCAUGGGGUUGAUAGGCCGGAACUGGAAGCGCAGCAAUGCGUGGAGGUGACCGGUACUAAUAGGCCGAGGGCU